UCGUCAGCUCGUGUCGUGAGAUGUUCGGUUAAGUCCCGCAACGAGCGCAACCCUCGACCUUAGUUGCCAGCAUUCAGUUGGGCACUCUAAGGUGACUGCCGGCUAAAAGUCGGAGGAAGGUGGGGAUGACGUCAAAUCAUCAUGCCCCUUAUGACCUGGGCUACACACGUGCUACAAUGGGCGGUACAAAGGGUCGCGAACCCGCGAGGGGGAGCCAAUCCCAAAAAGCCGCUCUCAGUUCGGAUUGCAGGCUGCAACUCGCCUGCAUGAAGCCGGAAUCGCUAGUAAUCGCGGAUCAGCAUACCGCGGUGAAUACGUUCCCGGGCCUU
Molecule: ribosomal RNA, 329 nt
Filed under: uncultured Anoxybacillus sp.
Lineage: Bacteria; Bacillati; Bacillota; Bacilli; Caryophanales; Anoxybacillaceae
Description: bacterial SSU rRNA
Rfam family: Bacterial small subunit ribosomal RNA
Source: RNAcentral